ACAGGUUAAUAUUCCUGUACUUGGUGUUACUGCGAAGGGGGGACGGAGAAGGCUAUGUUGGCCGGGCGACGGUUGUCCCGGUUUAAGCGUGUAGGCUGGUUUUCCAGGCAAAUCCGGAAAAUCAAGGCUGAGGCGUGAUGACGAGGCACUACGGUGCUGAAGCAACAAAUGCCCUGCUUCCAGGAAAAGCCUCUAAGCAUCAGGUAACAUCAAAUCGUACCCCAAACCGACACAGGUGGUCAGGUAGAGAAUACCAAGGCGCUUGAGAGAACUCGGGUGAAGGAACUAGGCAAAAUGGUGCCGUAACUUCGGGAGAAGGCACGCUGAUAUGUAGGUGAGGUCCCUCGCGGAUGGAGCUGAAAUCAGUCGAAGAUACCAGCUGGCUGCAACUGUUUAUUAAAAACACAGCACUGUGCAAACACGAAAGUGGACGUAUACGGUGUGACGCCUGCCCGGUGCCGGAAGGUUAAUUGAUGGGGUCAGCGCAAGCGAAGCUCUUGAUCGAAGCCCCGGUAAACGGCGGCCGUAACUAUAACGGUCCUAAGGUAGCGAAAUUCCUUGUCGGGUAAGUUCCGACCUGCACGAAUGGCGUAAUGAUGGCCAGGCUGUCUCCACCCGAGACUCAGUGAAAUUGAACUCGCUGUGAAGAUGCAGUGUACCCGCGGCAAGACGGAAAGACCCCGUGAACCUUUACUAUAGCUUGACACUGAACAUUGAGCCUUGAUGUGUAGGAUAGGUGGGAGGCUUAGAAGUGUGGACGCCAGUCUGCAUGGAGCCGACCUUGAAAUACCACCCUUUAAUGUUUGAUGUUCUAACGUUGACCCGUAAUCCGGGUUGCGGACAGUGUCUGGUGGGUAGUUUGACUGGGGCGGUCUCCUCCUAAAGAGUAACGGAGGAGCACGAAGGUUGGCUAAUCCUGGUCGGACAUCAGGAGGUUAGUGCAAUGGCAUAAGCCAGCUUGACUGCGAGCGUGACGGCGCGAGCAGGUGCGAAAGCAGGUCAUAGUGAUCCGGUGGUUCUGAAUGGAAGGGCCAUCGCUCAACGGAUAAAAGGUACUCCGGGGAUAACAGGCUGAUACCGCCCAAGAGUUCAUAUCGACGGCGGUGUUUGGCACCUCGAUGUCGGCUCAUCACAUCCUGGGGCUGAAGUAGGUCCCAAGGGUAUGGCUGUUCGCCAUUUAAAGUGGUACGCGAGCUGGGUUUAGAACGUCGUGAGACAGUUCGGUCCCUAUCUGCCGUGGGCGCUGGAGAACUGAGGGGGGCUGCUCCUAGUACGAGAGGACCGGAGUGGACGCAUCACUGGUGUUCGGGUUGUCAUGCCAAUGGCACUGCCCGGUAGCUAAAUGCGGAAGAGAUAAGUGCUGAAAGCAUCUAAGCACGAAACUUGCC
RNAcentral lists this ribosomal RNA (1388 nucleotides) under Escherichia coli. RNAcentral's name for it is "partial 23S ribosomal RNA". It matches the Rfam family "Bacterial large subunit ribosomal RNA", at positions 1422 to 2798 of the family's 2925-position model. Lineage: Bacteria; Pseudomonadati; Pseudomonadota; Gammaproteobacteria; Enterobacterales; Enterobacteriaceae. The record is from RNAcentral.